Molecule: ribosomal RNA, 715 nt
Filed under: Bacillus sp. Z312
Lineage: Bacteria; Bacillati; Bacillota; Bacilli; Caryophanales; Bacillaceae
Description: bacterial SSU rRNA
Rfam family: Bacterial small subunit ribosomal RNA
Source: RNAcentral
GAAUGAUGAGGAGCUUGCUCCUCUGAUUUAGCGGCGGACGGGUGAGUAACACGUGGGUAAUCUGCCUGUAAGACGGGGAUAACUCCGGGAAACCGGGGCUAAUACCGGAUAAUAAGAGAAGAAGCAUUUCUUCUUUUUGAAAGUCGGUUUCGGCUGACACUUACAGAUGAGCCCGCGGCGCAUUAGCUAGUUGGUGAGGUAACGGCUCACCAAGGCGACGAUGCGUAGCCGACCUGAGAGGGUGAUCGGCCACACUGGGACUGAGACACGGCCCAGACUCCUACGGGAGGCAGCAGUAGGGAAUCUUCGGCAAUGGGCGAAAGCCUGACCGAGCAACGCCGCGUGAGCGAUGAAGGCCUUCGGGUCGUAAAGCUCUGUUGUUAGAGAAGAACAAGUACGAGAGUAACUGCUCGUACCUUGACGGUACCUAACCAGAAAGCCACGGCUAACUACGUGCCAGCAGCCGCGGUAAUACGUAGGUGGCAAGCGUUAUCCGGAAUUAUUGGGCGUAAAGCGCGCGCAGGCGGUCUCUUAAGUCUGAUGUGAAAGCCCACGGCUCAACCGUGGAGGGUCAUUGGAAACUGGGAGACUUGAGUGCAGGAGAGAAAAGUGGAAUUCCACGUGUAGCGGUGAAAUGCGUAGAGAUGUGGAGGAACACCAGUGGCGAAGGCGGCUUUUUGGCCUGUAACUGACGCUGAGGCGCGAAAGCGUGGGG